UACAGAGGGUGCGAGCGUUGUUCGGAAUUACUGGGCGUAAAGCGCGCGCAGGCGGCCCUUUAAGUCUACCCGUGAAAUGCCGGAGCUCAACUCCGUGCACGCCGGGGGAUACUGGAGGGCUGUAGACGAGUAGAGGCAAGCGGAAUUCCGGGUGUAGCGGUGGAAUGCGUAGAGAUCCGGAAGAACACCGGAGGCGAAGGCGGCUUGCUGGGCUUGGUCUGACGCUGAGGCGCGAAAGCGUGGGGAGCGAACAGG
This 255-nucleotide ribosomal RNA is filed under the name uncultured bacterium. Its description in RNAcentral is "partial 16S ribosomal RNA". It matches the Rfam family "Bacterial small subunit ribosomal RNA", at positions 524 to 776 of the family's 1533-position model. The record is from RNAcentral.